GAGUUUGAUCAUGGCUCAGAUUGAACGCUGGCGGCAUGCUUUACACAUGCAAGUCGAACGGCAGCGCGGGCUUCGGCCUGGCGGCGAGUGGCGAACGGGUGAGUAAUACAUCGGAACGUGCCCAGUAGUGGGGGAUAGCUCGGCGAAAGCCGGAUUAAUACCGCAUACGACCUGAGGGUGAAAGCGGGGGAUCUUCGGACCUCGCGCUAUUGGAGCGGCCGAUGGCAGAUUAGCUAGUUGGUGGGGUAAAGGCCUACCAAGGCGACGAUCUGUAGCUGGUCUGAGAGGACGACCAGCCACACUGGGACUGAGACACGGCCCAGACUCCUACGGGAGGCAGCAGUGGGGAAUUUUGGACAAUGGGCGAAAGCCUGAUCCAGCAAUGCCGCGUGUGUGAUGAAGGCCUUCGGGUUGUAAAGCACUUUUGGCGGGAACGAAAAGGACUGUGCCAAUACCACGGUUCGAUGACGGUACCCGCAGAAUAAGCACCGGCUAACUACGUGCCAGCAGCCGCGGUAAUACGUAGGGUGCAAGCGUUAAUCGGAAUUACUGGGCGUAAAGAGUGCGCAGGCGGUUUUGCAAGACCGAUGUGAAAUCCCCGGGCUUAACCUGGGAACUGCAUUGGUGACUGCAAGGCUAGAGUGUGUCAGAGGGAGGUGGAAUUCCGCAUGUAGCAGUGAAAUGCGUAGAUAUGCGGAGGAACACCGAUGGCGAAGGCAGCCUCCUGGGAUAACACUGACGCUCAUGCACGAAAGCGUGGGGAGCAAACAGGAUUAGAUACCCUGGUAGUCCACGCCCUAAACGAUGUCUACUAGUUGUCGGGGAUUAAUUGCGUGGGUACGCAGCUAACGCGUGAAGUAGACCGCCGGGGGAGUACGGUGGCAAGAUAAAACUCAAAGGAAUUGACGGGGGACCCGCACAAGCGGGGGAUGAUGGGGAUUAAUUCGAUGCAACGCGGAAAACCUUACCUACGCUUGACAUGUCGGAACCGUGAAGAGAUGUGGGGGUGCUGGAAAGAGAGCCGGAACACAGGUGCUGCAUGGCUGUCGUCAGCUCGUGUCGUGGGAUGUUGGGUUAAGUCCCGCAACGAGCACAACCCUUAUCAUUAGUUGCUACGCAAGGGCACUCUAAUGAGACUGCCGGUGACAAACCGGAGGAAGGUGGGGAUGACGUCAAGUCCUCAUGGCCCUUAUGUGUAGGACUUCACACGUCAUACAAUGGUCGGUACAGAGGGUUGGGAAGCCGCGAGGUGGAGCCAAUCCCAAAAAACCGAUCGUAGUCCGGAUUGCAGUCUGCGGACUCGACUGCAUGAAGUCGGAAUCGCUAGUAAUCGCGGAUCAGCGUGCCGCGGUGAAUACGUUCCCGGGUCUUUGACACACCGCCCGU
RNAcentral lists this ribosomal RNA (1386 nucleotides) under uncultured bacterium. Its description in RNAcentral is "bacterial SSU rRNA". It matches the Rfam family "Bacterial small subunit ribosomal RNA". The record is from RNAcentral.